This 467-nucleotide ribosomal RNA is filed under the name uncultured bacterium. Its description in RNAcentral is "partial 16S ribosomal RNA". It matches the Rfam family "Bacterial small subunit ribosomal RNA", at positions 28 to 506 of the family's 1533-position model. The record is from RNAcentral.
GACGAACGCUGGCGGCGUGCUUAACACAUGCAAGUCGAACGGUGAAGCUCCAGCUUGCUGGAGUGGAUCAGUGGCGAACGGGUGAGUAACACGUGAGCAACCUGCCCCUGACUCUGGAAUAAGCGCUGGAAACGGCGUCUAAUACUGGAUACGAGAAGGGUCCGCAUGGGCACUUUCUGGAAAGUUUUUCGGUUGGGGAUGGGCUCGCGGCCUAUCAGCUUGUUGGUGAGGUAAUGGCUCACCAAGGCGACGACGGGUAGCCGGCCUGAGAGGGCGACCGGCCACACUGGGACUGAGACACGGCACAGACUCCUACGGGAGGCAGCAGUGGGGAAUAUUGCACAAUGGGCGAAAGCCUGAUGAAGCGACGCCGCGUGAGGGAUGACGGCCUUCGGGUUGUAAACCUCUUUCAGCAGGGAAGAAGCGAAAGGGACGGUACCUGCAGAAGAAGCACCGGCUAACUACGU